GACAAACGCGGGCGGCGUGCCUAAUACAUGCAAGUCGAACGACGAAAGCCUUCGGGCAAGUAAGAGUGGCGCACGGGCGAGGAACACGUAGAUAAUCUGCCCUUCAGUGGGGAAUAACUCUCCGAAAGGAGUGCUAAUACCGCAUAAGACCACAAGCUCUGCGGAGCAAGGGGUUAAAGGAUUUAUUCGCUGAAGGAUGAGUCUGCGUCCGAUUAGCUAGUUGGUGAGGUAAUGGCUUACCAAGGCAAUGAUCGGUAGAUGGUCUGAGAGGAUGAUCAUCCGCACUGGAACUGAGACACGGUCCAGACUCCGACGGGAGGCAGCAGUAGGGAAUAUUGCACAAUGGGGGAAACCCUGAUGCAGCAACGCCGCGUGAGUGAUGAAGGCUCUAGGGUCGUAAAGCUCUGUCGUAUGGGAAGAAAAAAAUGACGGUACCAUACAAGAAAGGACCGGCCAACUUCGUGCCAGCCGCCGCGGUAA
RNAcentral lists this ribosomal RNA (480 nucleotides) under uncultured bacterium. Its description in RNAcentral is "partial 16S ribosomal RNA". It matches the Rfam family "Bacterial small subunit ribosomal RNA", at positions 28 to 523 of the family's 1533-position model. The record is from RNAcentral.